AAGUUAGAGAUUCGAAGACGAUCAAAUACCGCCCUAGUUCUGACUUUAAACGAUACCAACUAGUGUCCCGUCGGCGACAAAUGCGCCUUAACGGCCAGCUUCCCGAAAACAAAAGUUUUCUAGU
This is a non-coding RNA of Onchocerca ochengi, 124 nucleotides long. Lineage: Eukaryota; Metazoa; Nematoda; Chromadorea; Rhabditida; Onchocercidae. The record is from Rfam.